This 472-nucleotide ribosomal RNA is filed under the name uncultured bacterium. RNAcentral's name for it is "bacterial SSU rRNA". It matches the Rfam family "Bacterial small subunit ribosomal RNA", at positions 30 to 496 of the family's 1533-position model. The record is from RNAcentral.
AUUGAACGCUGGCGGCAGGCCUAACACAUGCAAGUCGAGCGCGAAAAUUCCUUCGGGGAUGAGUAGAGCGGCGGACGGGUGAGUAAUGCGCAGAAAUCUGCCCAGUAGUGGGGGACAACCUGGUGAAAACCAGGCUAAUACCGCAUACGCCUACGGGGAAAGGCAGGGAGUCUUCGGACCUUGCGCUAUUGGAUGAGUCUGCGUCGGAUUAGCUUGUUGGUGAGGUAAUGGCUCACCAAGGCGACGAUCCGUAGCUGGUCUGAGAGGAUGAUCAGCCACACUGGGACUGAGACACGGCCCAGACUCCUACGGGAGGCAGCAGUGGGGAAUAUUGGACAAUGGGCGAAAGCCUGAUCCAGCCAUGCCGCGUGUGUGAAGAAGGCUCUAGGGUUGUAAAGCACUUUUCAGUGGGGAAGAAAGCUUGUUAGCUAAUAACUGACGAGUGUGACAUUACCCACAGAAGAAGCACCGG